This 517-nucleotide ribosomal RNA is filed under the name uncultured Globicatella sp. RNAcentral's name for it is "partial 16S ribosomal RNA". The record is from RNAcentral. Lineage: Bacteria; Bacillati; Bacillota; Bacilli; Lactobacillales; Aerococcaceae.
CACGUAGUUAGCCGUGGCUUUCUGGUUAGAUACCGUCAAUCUACUAACAUUUCCUCUAGUAGCCGUUCUUCUCUAACAACAGUGCUUUACGAUCCGAAAACCUUCUUCACACACGCGGCGUUGCUCCGUCAGACUUGCGUCCAUUGCGGAAGAUUCCCUACUGCUGCCUCCCGUAGGAGUUUGGGCCGUGUCUCAGUCCCAAUGUGGCCGAUCACCCUCUCAGGUCGGCUAUGCAUCAUCGCCUUGGUAAGCCGUUACCUUACCAACUAGCUAAUGCACCGCGGGGCCAUCCUUUAAUGAUGCCGUAGCACCUUUCCCAACUUAACCAGGCGGUUAAAUUGUCUAUGCGGUAUUAGCAGUCGUUUCCGACUGUUAUCCCCCACUAAAGGGCAGGUUCCCCAGUGUUACUCACCCGUGCGCCACUAACCUUAACGAGAACAAGUUCAAGUUGCGGUUCGUUCGACUUGCAUGUAUUAGGCACGCCGCCAGCGUUCGUCCUGAGCCAGGAUCAAACUCU